GACGAACGCUGGCGGCGUGCUUAACACAUGCAAGUCGAACGGAAAGGCCCUGCUUGCAGUGUACUCGCGUGGCGAACGGGUGAGUAACACGUGGGUGAUCUGCCCUGCACUUCGGGAUAAGCCUGGUCAACUGGGUCUAAUACCUGCUAGGUGCCAUUUUUAGUGUGAUGGUUGGAAAGUUUUUUCGGUGUAUGAUGAGUUCGCGGCCUAUCGGCUUGUUGGUGGGGUAAUUGCCUACCAAGGCGGCGACGGGUAGCCGGCCUGAGGGGGUGGACGGCCACACUGGGACCGAGAGAAGGCCCAGACACCGACGGGAGGCAGAAGUGGGGAAGAUUGCACAAGGGGCGCAAGCCGGAUGCAGAGACGCCGCGGGGGGGAUGACGGCCUUAGGGUGGAAAAAUCAUUGCGCUAGGGACGAAGCUUUUUGUGACGGUACCUAGAGAAGAAGCACCGGCUAACUACGUG
RNAcentral lists this ribosomal RNA (465 nucleotides) under uncultured bacterium. RNAcentral's name for it is "partial 16S ribosomal RNA". It matches the Rfam family "Bacterial small subunit ribosomal RNA", at positions 28 to 507 of the family's 1533-position model. The record is from RNAcentral.